GAUGAAGAACGCAGCGAAAUGCGAUAAGUAAUGUGAAUUGCAGAAUUCAGUGAAUCAUCGAAUCUUUGAACGCACAUUGCGCCCCUUGGUAUUCCGAGGGGCAUGCCUGUUCGAGCGUCAUUACACCACUCAAGCUAUGCUUGGUAUUGGGCGUCGUCCUUAGUUGGGCGCGCCUUAAAGACCUCGGCGAGGCCACUCCGGCUUUAGGCGUAGUAGAAUUUAUUCGAACGUCUGUCAAAGGAGAGGAACUCUGUCGACUGAAACCUUUAUUUUUCUAGGUUGACCUCGGAUCAGGUAGGGAUACCCGCUGAACUUAAGCAUAUCAAUAAGCGGAGGA
This 337-nucleotide unclassified non-coding RNA is filed under the name soil metagenome. Its description in RNAcentral is "partial contains 5.8S ribosomal RNA, internal transcribed spacer 2, and large subunit ribosomal RNA". The stretch from base 1 to 120 matches the Rfam family "5.8S ribosomal RNA", at positions 35 to 154 of the family's 154-position model. The record is from RNAcentral.